UACGUAGGGUGCGAGCGUUGUCCGGAAUUACUGGGCGUAAAGAGCUCGUAGGUGGUUUGUCGCGUUGUUCGUGAAAACUCACAGCUUAACUGUGGGCGUGCGGGCGAUACGGGCAGACUGGAGUACUGCAGGGGAGACUGGAAUUCCUGGUGUAGCGGUGAAAUGCGCAGAUAUCAGGAAGAACACCCGUGGCGAAAGCGGCUCUCUGGAACGGUACUGACGCUGAGACGCGAAAGCGUGGGGAGCGAACAGG
Molecule: ribosomal RNA, 253 nt
Filed under: uncultured bacterium
Lineage: Bacteria
Description: partial 16S ribosomal RNA
Rfam family: Bacterial small subunit ribosomal RNA
Source: RNAcentral